This 656-nucleotide ribosomal RNA is filed under the name Scinax quinquefasciatus (Fowler's snouted treefrog). RNAcentral's name for it is "partial 12S small subunit ribosomal RNA". It matches the Rfam family "Bacterial small subunit ribosomal RNA", at positions 14 to 1119 of the family's 1533-position model. Lineage: Eukaryota; Metazoa; Chordata; Amphibia; Anura; Hylidae. The record is from RNAcentral.
UGGUCCUAGCCUUGUAAUCAGUCUUUACUCAACUUACACAUGCAAGUCUCCGCACCCCUGUGAAAACGCCCUCUAACCCCUUAAGGGACGAGGAGCCGGUAUCAGGCUCAAUCAUUAGCCCAAGACACCUAGCUUUGCCACACCCACAAGGGAAUUCAGCAGUGAUUAACAUUGAUAAUAAGCGCAAGCUUGACUCAGUCAGAGUAAUUAGAGCCGGCAAAUCUGGUGCCAGCCGCCGCGGCUAUACCACGAGGCCCAAACUGAUCCCCUUCGGCGUAAAGCGUGAUUAAAGUGACCCUAGACUGUAGAUAAACUAGUAUUUAGCUGUGAUACGCUGGUUUCUAGGAAAAACAAAAACGAAAGUUGCUACAGCAGAACCCGCUUGACCUCACGACAGCUAAGACACAAACUGGGAUUAGAUACCCCACUAUGCUUAGCCGUAAACCUUAACUUACACCCAAAUCGCCAGGGAACUACGAGCAACGCUUAAAACCCAAAGGACUUGACGGUGCCCCACAUCCACCUAGAGGAGCCUGUCCUAUAAUCGAUAACCCCCGUUCUACCUCACCACUUUUUGCCUAUCAGCCUGUAUACCUCCGUCGUCAGCUUACCACGUGAGCGCCCUCCAGUAAGCGUAAAAGCCCCCCGCUAAAACG